GAGUUUGAUCCUGGCUCAGAUUGAACGCUGGCGGCAUGCCUUACACAUGCAAGUCGAACGGCAGCACGGGAGCUUGCUCCUGGUGGCGAGUGGCGAACGGGUGAGUAAUGCAUCGGAACGUAUCCUGGAGUGGGGGAUAACGUAGCGAAAGUUACGCUAAUACCGCAUAUUCUGUGAGCAGGAAAGCGGGGGACCUUCGGGCCUCGCGCUCUUGGAGCGGCCGAUGUCGGAUUAGCUAGUUGGUGAGGUAAAGGCUCACCAAGGCGACGAUCCGUAGCAGGUCUGAGAGGAUGAUCUGCCACACUGGAACUGAGACACGGUCCAGACUCCUACGGGAGGCAGCAGUGGGGAUUUUGGACAAUGGGGGCAACCCUGAUCCAGCCGUGCCGCGUGAGUGAAGAAGGCCU
RNAcentral lists this ribosomal RNA (407 nucleotides) under bacterium enrichment culture clone ALO1_GLFRUDD03F6KND. RNAcentral describes it as "bacterial SSU rRNA". It matches the Rfam family "Bacterial small subunit ribosomal RNA", at positions 9 to 417 of the family's 1533-position model. The record is from RNAcentral.